This is a long non-coding RNA of Engraulis encrasicolus (European anchovy), 398 nucleotides long. RefSeq lists it as uncharacterized. The record is from RefSeq and is a predicted model, not a curated record. NCBI's taxonomy places the organism in Eukaryota, Metazoa, Chordata, Actinopteri, Clupeiformes, Engraulidae. The transcript has 4 exons.
AAAGGCUGGACAAGGCAGUCUUUGGCGCAAUUUGGGCGUUUCACAGGUCUGGGCUUUAUUUUAGCCCCAGAAAUACAUCAGGAAUUUGACCCAUCCCUACCAGAGAAACUAUUUGAUGGGAUACUGGCCAGUCAGGAGUACAGCGAUGCUCAAGACAAAGAGGACUUCAUCAUGACGUCUCUUGCUGUCAGCCAGCAACAAAAAAGAAGCCAUCGAGAGGGCCACAGUUGGGCAGACGAGCAAUGCAUUAUGGGCAGCAUAUCGCAAGAAGAGGAUCACAGCGAGCAACUUUGGUUUGGUUUUGUCUGCAGUCAGAAGACAGUCUUUCCCACCUUCAUUGUUCAAGACACUGCUGGGAGAAUACAACCCCAAACAAGGAGCUCGUGCAUGUGAUUGGG